CGGUACAGAGAUAGCUUGCUAUCUGCUGACGAGCGGCGGACGGGUGAGUAAUGCUUGGGAAUAUGCCUUUGAGUGGGGGACAACAGUUGGAAACGACUGCUAAUACCGCAUAACGUCUACGGACCAAAGGGGGGGAUUCUUCGGAACCUCUCGCUCAUUGAUUAGCCCAAGUGAGAUUAGCUAGUUGGUAAGGUAAUGGCUUACCAAGGCGACGAUCUCUAGCUGGUUUGAGAGGAUGAUCAGCCACACUGGGACUGAGACACGGCCCAGACUCCUACGGGAGGCAGCAGUGGGGAAUAUUGCACAAUGGGCGAAAGCCUGAUGCAGCCAUGCCGCGUGUGUGAAGAAGGCCUUCGGGUUGUAAAGCACUUUCAGCGAGGAGGAAAGGGAUGUAGUUAAUAACUGCAUUCUGUGACGUUACUCGCAGAAGAAGCACCGGCUAACUUCGUGCCAGCAGCCGCGGUAAUACGAGGGGUGCAAGCGUUAAUCGGAAUUACUGGGCGUAAAGCGUGCGUAGGUGGUUUGUUAAGCAAGAUGUGAAAGCCCUGGGCUCAACCUGGGAACUGCAUUUUGAACUGGCAAGCUAGAGUUUUGUAGAGGGUAGUGGAAUUUCCAGUGUAGCGGUGAAAUGCGUAGAGAUUGGAAGGAACAUCAG
This 655-nucleotide ribosomal RNA is filed under the name uncultured Colwellia sp. RNAcentral's name for it is "bacterial SSU rRNA". It matches the Rfam family "Bacterial small subunit ribosomal RNA", at positions 67 to 712 of the family's 1533-position model. Lineage: Bacteria; Pseudomonadati; Pseudomonadota; Gammaproteobacteria; Alteromonadales; Colwelliaceae. The record is from RNAcentral.